This 477-nucleotide ribosomal RNA is filed under the name uncultured bacterium. RNAcentral's name for it is "bacterial SSU rRNA". It matches the Rfam family "Bacterial small subunit ribosomal RNA", at positions 28 to 387 of the family's 1533-position model. The record is from RNAcentral.
GAUGAACGCUGGCGGCGUGCUUAACACAUGCAAGUCGAGCGGGCAAUUUAUCUAGCACUGAUUACUUCAAAUGGAAAUCAUAAGUGUAAUCAUGAAUUUCUACCUUUAAUAAAGAAAAAAGAAAUUCAUGUACGCAAAUAGUGAUAACACAUUUUAGUGGAGUGAUGAGUGCUGGAUAAAUUGCUAGCGGCGGACGGGUGCGUAACACGUGGGUAACCUGCCCCUAUCACUGGGAUAACACACUGAAAAGUGUGCUAAUACCAGAUAACAUAAGCUUUUGGCAUCAUUAGCUUAUCAAAGAAUUUCGGAUAGGGAUGGGCCCGCGUCUGAUUAGCUAGUUGGUGAGGUAACGGCUCACCAAGGCAACGAUCAGUAGCCGACCUGAGAGGGUGAUCGGCCACACUGGAACUGAGACACGGUCCAGACUCCUACGGGAGGCAGCAGUGGGGAAUAUUGCACAAUGGACGCAAGUCUGAA